Molecule: ribosomal RNA, 78 nt
Filed under: Enterobacter cloacae
Lineage: Bacteria; Pseudomonadati; Pseudomonadota; Gammaproteobacteria; Enterobacterales; Enterobacteriaceae
Also listed under: 9 other names
Description: partial 23S ribosomal RNA
Rfam family: Bacterial large subunit ribosomal RNA
Source: RNAcentral
CGACGUUGAUAGGUCGGGUGUGUAAGCGCAGCGAUGCGUUGAGCUAACCGAUACUAAUGAACCGUGAGGCUUAACCUU